UGGGGAAUAUUGCGCAAUGGAGAGACACUCUGACGCAGCAAUACCGCGUGAGCGAGGAAGGUCUUCGGAUCGUAAAGCUCUGUACACGGGGAAGAAAAAAAUGACGGUACCCGUGGAGCAAGUCCCGGCUAACUACGUGCCAGCAGCCGCGGUAACACGUAGGGGACAAGCGUUGUCCGGAAUGACUGGGCGUAAAGGGCGCGCAGGCGGCCUUUUAAGCAGGAAGUGAAAGGCCCCGGCUCAACCGGGGAGAUGCUUUCUGAACUGGAAGGCUUGAGUAUUGGAGAGGCAGGCGGAAUUCCUGGUGUAGCGGUGAAAUGCGCAGAGAUCAGGAGGAACACCGGAGGCGAAGGCGGCCUGCUGGACAAAUACUGACGCUGAGGCGCGAAAGCGUGGGGAGCAAACAGG
RNAcentral lists this ribosomal RNA (408 nucleotides) under uncultured Eubacteriaceae bacterium. RNAcentral's name for it is "bacterial SSU rRNA". It matches the Rfam family "Bacterial small subunit ribosomal RNA", at positions 355 to 776 of the family's 1533-position model. The record is from RNAcentral. Lineage: Bacteria; Bacillati; Bacillota; Clostridia; Eubacteriales; Eubacteriaceae.